CUUGAUUUUUUGGGGGGUGAAGGCAUAUCCAUGCUGGGACCCACCUGGUGAGGGGCCCAGAAUACGCGCACAUGAGCCAUAAAUCGCAUAUUCAAGCUCCCUGCCUCAGCAUUUCUAGAGAGAGAGAGAGAGAGAGAGAGAGAGAGAGGAUAUCUUUGACGAGGAAUUUCUCGCGGCGGGCAGAUUUAUGGGAGAGCCUACGCUUCUUCACCUUCCUGUGAGGGCAUUUACCGCCCAUUCUUUCUCUUUUGUUUGAUUUUCCUUCCUCUCUUUUGCACCUGCGUUUCUCCCUGCUUCUUCUAUCCUCCCCGCACCGCGUCUUCCGUAAACCCUAGAAAAACAAGACGA
Long non-coding RNA from Magnolia sinica, 348 nucleotides. RefSeq lists it as uncharacterized. NCBI's taxonomy places the organism in Eukaryota, Viridiplantae, Streptophyta, Magnoliopsida, Magnoliales, Magnoliaceae. The transcript is spliced from 2 exons. The record is from RefSeq and is a predicted model, not a curated record.